AGAUACUGUGAAUUGGUGAAUUUGAGACGGAACAAGUACAGAGUACAGCACUCAACAGUGCAUGUGUGACUAUUCUCAGGCUUCUUUGCGUAUUUUUAAUGGAUUAUUAGUUUUUGUUGUUGAGUUGUUGAGUCCCUUGUAAAUUAUGGAUAUUAGUCCUUGUUGGAUAAAUGGUUUUCAAAUAUUUGUUCCCAUUCCGAGGGUUGCCUGUUUGUAUUCCUUUUUCUAUGCAGAAGCUUUUUAGUUUAAUUAAGUCCCAUUUGUCUAUCUGCCAAUUUUGGAUAUCAACAGUUUCCAUUGUGGCACCAUUCCCUGGGGACCACCCUGCCACCUAGCGGCAGGUUGAUUGAAUUGGCUCUCUUCCAUCACGGAAGUGACAGA
RNAcentral lists this long non-coding RNA (381 nucleotides) under Homo sapiens (human). RNAcentral describes it as "non-protein coding lnc-BMP2-4:1". The record is from RNAcentral. Lineage: Eukaryota; Metazoa; Chordata; Mammalia; Primates; Hominidae.